RNAcentral lists this ribosomal RNA (427 nucleotides) under uncultured marine bacterium. RNAcentral describes it as "bacterial SSU rRNA". It matches the Rfam family "Bacterial small subunit ribosomal RNA", at positions 360 to 804 of the family's 1533-position model. The record is from RNAcentral.
AAUCUUGGACAAUGGGGGCAACCCUGAUCCAGCCAUGCCGCGUGAGUGAUGAAGGCCUUAGGGUCGUAAAGCUCUUUCGCCUGUGAAGAUAAUGACGGUAGCAGGUAAAGAAACCCCGGCUAACUCCGUGCCAGCAGCCGCGGUAAUACGGAGGGGGUUAGCGUUGUUCGGAAUUACUGGGCGUAAAGCGCACGUAGGCGGACUGGAAAGUUGGGGGUGAAAUCCCAGGGCUCAACCCUGGAACUGCCUCCAAAACUAUCAGUCUAGAGUUCGAGAGAGGUGAGUGGAAUUCCGAGUGUAGAGGUGAAAUUCGUAGAUAUUCGGAGGAACACCAGUAGCGAAGGCGGCUCACUGGCUCGAUACUGACGCUGAGGUGCGAAAGUGUGGGGAGCAAACAGGAUUAGAUACCCUGGUAGUCCACACCGUA